ACUCAAUAUUUCGUUUCUAGGCCUUUCAAGCGUUGUAACCGCUGCGCACAUUGUUGACAUUGAAGAAACGUUGACAUCAUUAUUACAAAUCAAAAUGUCAUCGACCAGAGAACGAGUUUCUUCAUUGAUGACUGGCGUGAGGCUAACCUUCUAUUAUGGCUUCAUUCCUACUGUACUCAUUCUUGGCUUCUUGAAAGGUGCAGAUGAAGGAACACCACCACUUUCUCCUCUAAGCUUACUAUGGCAGUGAACAUUUUAGCUGAACUGCUCCAAGUUGUAUGUGGAUGACAUCAUCGCUUCAGCAACUUCCAUUUCAUGGCACAGAGGAAGUGAUGCACACACAAUGAAAUUGAACAUUUUUCCCUGCAUAUUGUAGGCAUUUAUUUAUUCAUGAUGAAUAAACCUUGAACCCAAAAGUC
Molecule: long non-coding RNA, 419 nt
Organism: Physella acuta
Lineage: Eukaryota; Metazoa; Mollusca; Gastropoda; Physidae
Source: RefSeq, a predicted model, not a curated record